Long non-coding RNA from Argiope bruennichi, 2911 nucleotides. RefSeq lists it as uncharacterized. The record is from RefSeq and is a predicted model, not a curated record. The transcript has 3 exons. Lineage: Eukaryota; Metazoa; Arthropoda; Arachnida; Araneae; Araneidae.
CCGAAUGUCAUGGUUGAUGAAUCAUGAGUUUUUUGCUAGUCUGGUUGCCUUGUGUUAUAAAUACGCUGUGCACGUGUUCCUAUUAUCUUGAUACCUGAUGGUGAAAUGCUUUCACAUUUAUUGAAACUUCGAAUAAAUGGCUUCAGGCUGCUUCUCUAAAUGGAUGAAGAGUGCUUGCAACUUGCCAUUCUACAUGAAAUUCCUGGCCGAGUAUUGCCUACGCAGCCCAUUUAUGAAAAAAACGCUAGUGUUCCUGCAAUGUCUAUCAGACGAAAUUAUGUGGAUUUCCUGCCAAGGACACCCAGUAUCAACUUGAGUCUGAAGAUAUGGAUGGUUAUCCUUGUUUACAAUCUUCGAAUUUUGCCUCUAGAUUCUUCAAUGUUCUGAAACCCAGAUUGCUUGCUGGAUAGUAGUGCCGGAUAUUGAAGUAACUUCUAUGACUUUGUAAAUGGCACAGUAUUUUGCUUAAUUGUAGUGCCUUAAUGUAGAUUAACCUAUAUAUAUGCAAUUUCAAGUUCUUGGUAAACCGACUCCUAUCUAUGAAAGUGCCUCAUGUUGUAUUAAAUUUAAAUUUAAAUUAGCUUUAACUUAACUGAUAGUAAAUAAUUCUAUAUCAAAUAAGGGAACUUCAAGGUGAAACGAUUUCAAAAUUCUUGAGAUUUUAAUUUUAAUUGAUAAAUUAAUCAGAAUUUUAACACUUUAUUUUGAAUUUGAUUGAAGGAAACGGACAAUAAGACACUUCUAUGCGAGUGAUGGCAAAUACUGACAUCAACCCUCCUUCCCUGUUUUCCGACUCUAUUAAAAUAUGUAUUGCAACCUGUAAAUAAGUCAAUCUCGUACGAGCUAUACAUCACGCCUCCAAGUGUAACAUUACGAUUACUUGUAUACUUGACAUGCAAUUCAGCGGUCAGAGUAGCGGACAUUCCGACAGUAUUAAAUAUUAAAGCGAGUCAAGAUUUAAGACUCGCUCGAUAUGUUGUCAACUUGACUUUAAUUCGUUCGGUUUGGUACAACACUGAAAUUUUGUAUAUAAAAUCAUCUGAUAGACUUGUUCCUGUCUCUACAUAGAAAGCUCUUUAAAUGAUUUAAAUCAACAUCAGAAUUUUUCCCAUUCUUCCUUUACCGAGCCGCUCUCAAAUAUUCAGUAUAUCUAGAAAUUUCGAUCGGUUUUAAAUCAAUCGAAUCAAACCUUGAUCUGUCCUAGGUUUAAAAUUUAUUAAAUAUUUACCUGAUGAAUGUUUCCAGCAGCUUUUGCCAAUAAGAUGAAAGGUUUAACUAAAUAAGGCUUGUAAUGUUUCAUGUAAUCAGUCUUUUAUAAAGUCUAAUCUUUACUGCUAAUAAGAAUUCCUCAAACCAUUAAAAAUGGAAAGCACCCUUAAAACGAGUUUGCGUACAAAAGUCAGUACAAACGUAUUCUUAAAUCGAAAAGUCUUCAAAUUUAUUAAUUUUUAAUAUUUUUUCUGGCAGGAAUACCAGCCCAUAGUGUAUCAUAGUUUAGCUCGGCUGUCUAAUAAAGACUAAAAUGAACCAAAUGAGUAUCCUUAAUUCCUCAAAUAAACUAUAAUAAAGCACACUUAAAAUGUAAUAUUUGAUCGGGAACAUUAAAAUCAAUCGAAUUUGGUUAGAAUAUAAAUGACUGGUCGAUUCCAAUAUCAAAAGUAGAAAUUGCAUUUAGCUGGUUUAUUGCAGAUGGGUGAAAUCAGAUGGGGUUUGGAGACGGAGGUUAACACGUUAAAUGCUGGUCCCUGUUUACUUUCCGUCUAGGCUGUUUGGGACCGACGGUCUAAGCGGAAAGUAUCGGUCCCCAGGGAACCGGUCAUUAACGUGUUAAUGACGAAUUGGGUUAGUAGGCAAUUUUUAAAAGCAAAUUCUAGCGAUCACUUUGAAUUGGGAAGUGGGCAUUUAAUUUAUCUCAACACUAAAAUUUCAAAUGUCCAGUUGUGUUUAUAGAGGAUUUGAACCAGCAAAAUGCAAUUCCUACUUGAAAUAUUGGUAGCGAUCACAAAUUGAAUCGGAGAUUCGAGUUGCUAAUAGAUUUCAAGUCUUGAAGGUUCUAAGCAUUUGUGAAUAGUAACAUUAUUUGAAGGGAACGUUAAUGGCUGACUUCGUUAUUCGUGAAUGUUUUUCUGUACUAGUGAACAAUUAAAUUAUUUAAAUGAAUGACUUUCACGAUUACCUUUCAUAAAAAUUACAAUACUUAUUGACGUAUCGUUUCGCCGCCUUUUGGCACUAAUCGAAUUUAUAUUUCGGAUGAUGAAUCAUUCAACAAAUAUUUGACGAUAUAUUCAUUUACAAAAAUUGUUCGUCGGUUGCCUUUCAAAAGUUAUAUAAUGAUGGUUUGAGGAAAUUUAAAAAUAAAAUGUUAAAAUCUGUCUCUAAAUCUUCCAAAUCUAUCUUCCCUGGAGCCUCCUGUAGAUAAACGACGCAUUCUUAGCAGUACUCUUAAAUGGGCCUCUCUCCUUAAUCUUCAAUUUAAUUUGGAUUCCAGCAUUACAAAAUUUUCAACUGUCGCAUCAAUAUUUAUGAUCUAGUUUCAGUUACUUCAGAUAAUUCCUUUAAACUGAAUAAAGUAUUAUAUGAAAUAGCGAUGGUAAGCAGGAUUGCCUUAAUUUGCUACCACUCUUCUAACUUUUAUUGUGUCCGGCUUCUAAUCAAAGUAUAUUAUCGCUGCAUAUUGUAUAAAAUGUUUUGCUAGAACGAUUAACGUAAUCAUUGUUGGAUGAAGAUAUCCCUUGGAAUGAAACAAAAUUGCUUAAAUAGAAACAAUUUCUUAAAAUAACCCAUUCCGUACCCUACUCGGUUGUAACAGAUCCAUUUAAAGCCAAAAUCGCUUUUUUAAAAUUGUCCGUUUCAUUCGAAUCUAAAAUUUUGUUUGCUUUCAUUUAAUUUGUUUCAAUAAUAUUAACUGCUG